AUACACCACAAGGGGAGCUUUUGCUGAGAGUGAACAGUUUUGUUCUUACCCUUCGAACCUGUAAGUUAACGCUUGCGCAGGGAUGUGGAUAGAAACCUGC
This 100-nucleotide non-coding RNA is filed under the name Planococcus massiliensis. Its description in RNAcentral is "TPP riboswitch aptamer (THI element)". It matches the Rfam family "TPP riboswitch aptamer (THI element)". From Rfam's summary of the family: Vitamin B(1) in its active form thiamin pyrophosphate (TPP) is an essential coenzyme that is synthesised by coupling of pyrimidine and thiazole moieties in bacteria. The previously detected thiamin-regulatory element, thi box was extended, resulting in a new, highly conserved RNA secondary structure, the THI element, which is widely distributed in eubacteria and also occurs in some archaea. Lineage: Bacteria; Bacillati; Bacillota; Bacilli; Caryophanales; Caryophanaceae. RNAcentral also lists the same sequence under 1 other name. The record is from Rfam by way of RNAcentral.